This 429-nucleotide ribosomal RNA is filed under the name Fusobacteriota bacterium. RNAcentral describes it as "Fusobacteria bacterium partial 16S ribosomal RNA". It matches the Rfam family "Bacterial small subunit ribosomal RNA", at positions 355 to 776 of the family's 1533-position model. The record is from RNAcentral. Lineage: Bacteria; Fusobacteriati; Fusobacteriota.
UGGGGAAUCUUCCGCAAUGGACGAAAGUCUGACGGAGCAACGCCGCGUGAGUGAAGACGGCCUUCGGGUUGUAAAGCUCUGUUAUUCGGGAAGAACGAUUCGUUUGUGAACAAUGAACGGAAGUGACGGUACCGAAAGAGAAAGCCACGGCUAACUACGUGCCAGCAGCCGCGGUAAUACGUAGGUGGCAAGCGUUGUCCGGAAUUAUUGGGCGUAAAGAGCGCGUAGGCGGUAUGGUAAGUCUGUCUUAGAAGUGCGGGGCUUAACCCCGUGAGAGGACUGAGUCUGUCAUACUGGAGUCUCGGGGAUGAAAGCGGAAUUCCUAGUGUAGCGGUGAGAUGCGUAGAGAUUAGGAAGAACACCGGUGGCGAAGGCGGCUUUCUAGACGAGCAAUGACGCUGAGGCGCGAAAGCGUGGGGAGCGAACAGG